RNAcentral lists this ribosomal RNA (336 nucleotides) under uncultured prokaryote. RNAcentral describes it as "bacterial SSU rRNA". It matches the Rfam family "Bacterial small subunit ribosomal RNA", at positions 30 to 352 of the family's 1533-position model. The record is from RNAcentral.
AGAUUUGAACGCUAGCGGCAUGCCUAACACAUGCAAGUCGGAACGGUAACAGGCCCUUCGGGGUGCUGACGAGUGGCGGAACGGGUGAGUAAUGCGUAGGAAUCUACCCACGAGUGGGGGAUAGCCCGGAGAAAUCCGGAUUAAUUACCGCAUAUGGCCCCUACGGGGUAAAGGCGGGGGAUCGUAAGACCUCGCGCUGGUGGAUGAGCCUACGUCCGAUUAGUUAGUUGGGUGGGGUAAAGGGCCUACCAAGGUCUACGAUCGGUAGCUGGUCUGAGAGGACGACCAGCCACGACUGGCACUGAGAUACGGGCCAGACUCCUACGGGAGGGCAGC